GGUUUGGUGGUCAUAGCGAGCGCAAUACACCCGGUCCCUUCCCGAACCCGGAAGUUAAGUGCCUCCGCGCCAAUGGUACUCGGGCUCAAGCCCCGGGAGAGUAGGUCACCGCCAAACC
Molecule: ribosomal RNA, 118 nt
Filed under: Ruegeria pomeroyi
Lineage: Bacteria; Pseudomonadati; Pseudomonadota; Alphaproteobacteria; Rhodobacterales; Roseobacteraceae
Also listed under: 1 other name
Source: RNAcentral